CUUGCAUUCUCCCAAAGAGGGAUAAUGGGGAAGUGACAGUCCCUUUAAUAAAGUCCAGGUAUGAAAAGUUUCUGAAUGGAUCAGAGUGAAAGGGUUUCGCUCUACUAUCACAGAAAAUGUAUUUCUGUGAGAGAGAGGAGCCUCCAUUGCAUGUCUCUUCCUGCACAGCUCCUCUGCUGUGCUCGCUCUCCCAUCUAACCUGCAACCUAGAGACACACAAGGAGAUUCUCCCAGCUUCAGGACAAACUUUGAAUUGCCCUUAAACCAACUCCUUUGUAGAUAUUAGGCUGAACCAUAGAGAACUAUCAUGUCUGUAGGUAAAAAUGGAUGACUACUGCCAAUUUUAUACGGCUUGGCCAAGAUACUUAAGGUGGUAACCUUAUAGAUCUCUUCUAGAG
RNAcentral lists this long non-coding RNA (398 nucleotides) under Homo sapiens (human). RNAcentral's name for it is "HSALNT0177389". Lineage: Eukaryota; Metazoa; Chordata; Mammalia; Primates; Hominidae. The record is from RNAcentral.